UGCUCUUGUUUCUCUUCAGAUCGUAUAAAUCUUUCGCCUUUUACUAAAGCUUUCCGUGGAGAGGAACAGGAAGAGUUUCGCCCAAUUUUUAGAUGCCCUACAUAAGUGGUGCU
Molecule: small nuclear RNA, 113 nt
Filed under: Amphiprion percula (orange clownfish)
Lineage: Eukaryota; Metazoa; Chordata; Actinopteri; Pomacentridae
Description: U5 spliceosomal RNA (ENSAPEG00000013539.1)
Rfam family: U5 spliceosomal RNA
About the family: U5 RNA is a component of both types of known spliceosome. The precise function of this molecule is unknown, though it is known that the 5' loop is required for splice site selection and p220 binding, and that both the 3' stem-loop and the Sm site are important for Sm protein binding and cap methylation.
Source: Rfam by way of RNAcentral